CCGUGUCGCGCAUAUCUGCAUAUCAAUAAGCGGAGGAAAAGAAACUAACAAGGAUUCCCUUAGUAACGGCGAGUGAAGCGGGAAGAGCUCAAAUUUGAAAUCUUCAAGGUUCUACCUCGACGAAUUGUAGUUUAAAGAAGUGUUUUCUGUUAGAUGAGUAGCAAAAGUUCCUUGGAAUGGGACAUCAUAGAGGGUGAGAAUCCCGUAUUUGGUUAUUCAUUCUAGCUUUGUGAUACACUUUCAAAGAGUCGGAUUGUUUGGGAAUGCAGUCCAAAAUGGGUGGUAAAUUUCAUCUAAAGCUAAAUAUUGGCGAGAGACCGAUAGCGAACAAGUACCGUGAGGGAAAGAUGAAAAGAACUUUGAAAAGAGAGUUAAACAGUACGUGAAAUUGUCAAAAGGGAAGCGUUUGACACCAGUGUUGUUUUUCCGAAAAUCAAUUACGAAUGGCUUGAUUUUGUGUUGUAUUGACCUUAUCAGCUUUCUGCACUUUUUUCGAGUCUUUCUUAAUGCACUUUUCGGUUAACAAGUCAACAUCAAUUUCUUUUGUUGUAAAAGAGUAUUCGGAAGGUGGCUUUCUUUUCGGAGAAAGUGUUUAUAGCCCUAUACUUCUACAAUCGGAGAGAUUGAGGUCUGCAGCGUAGAUCCCUUCGGGGUUAGAUACACUUUGUGCUAAGUUGUAGCUUUUCAUAGACAACUUGUUGACUAUGUUUAGUCAUGCGGCUUACUCGCUUAGUGCUAUUUUACCUACGCUUAGGAUGUUGACGAUCAGCUGAGCGCG
RNAcentral lists this ribosomal RNA (778 nucleotides) under uncultured Neocallimastigales. Its description in RNAcentral is "partial large subunit ribosomal RNA". It matches the Rfam family "Eukaryotic large subunit ribosomal RNA", at positions 24 to 646 of the family's 3401-position model. The record is from RNAcentral. Lineage: Eukaryota; Fungi; Neocallimastigomycota; Neocallimastigomycetes; Neocallimastigales.